AUUGAACGCUGGCGGCAGGCCUAACACAUGCAAGUCGAACGGUAACAGGAGGAAGCUUGCUUCUUUGCUGACGAGUGGCGGACGGGUGAGUAAUGUCUGGGAAACUGCCUGAUGGAGGGGGAUAACUACUGGAAACGGUAGCUAAUACCGCAUAACGUCGCAAGACCAAAAAGGGGGACCUUCGGGCCUCUUGGCAUCGGAUGUGCCCAGAUGGGAUUAGCUAGUAGGUGGGGUAACGACUCACCUAGGCGACGAUCCCUAGCUGGUCUGAGAGGAUGACCAGCCACACUGGAACUGAGACACGGUCCAGACUCCUACGGGAGGCAGCAGUGGGGAAUAUUGCACAAUGGGCGCAAGCCUGAUGCAGCAAUGCCGCGUGUAUGAAGAAGGCCUUCGGGUUGUAAAGUACUUUAAGCGGGGAGGAAGGGAGUAAAGUUAAUACCUUUGCUCAUUGACGUUACCCGCAGAAGAAGCACCGGCUAACUCCGUG
This 490-nucleotide ribosomal RNA is filed under the name uncultured bacterium. RNAcentral's name for it is "partial 16S ribosomal RNA". It matches the Rfam family "Bacterial small subunit ribosomal RNA", at positions 30 to 507 of the family's 1533-position model. The record is from RNAcentral.